Non-coding RNA from Pelobates cultripes (western spadefoot toad), 236 nucleotides. The record is from the annotation of a GenBank genome assembly. Lineage: Eukaryota; Metazoa; Chordata; Amphibia; Anura; Pelobatidae.
GCCAAAUAUCGUGUAGGUCUCCCUCGCGAUGCCAAAAAAGCUGUGAAGCAUCGUGGCAUGGGCAGCACAAGACCCCUGAACAUAUCCUGUGGUAUCUGGCACCAAGACAUUAGCAGCAGAUCCUAGCUGAACUAUGUCUUCUUCCCAUAGAGCAUCCUGCUGCCAUGUCGUCUCCAGGAAAAUAACACAAUCACAACUGGCCAUCCACCUUAUGUAAAAGAAAAUGUGAUUCAUAG